GUCAGAGAAUGAGAAUUUAAGGCUAAAACAUAAUAAGAAUUCGAAUCAAUUUCCAUAUGCAAGAGACUUACGGUGUUAAGACGAUACCGAUCUUGUGAAUUUUUCCCAAGUCUCCGCAAACUAAUCUCAAAUUAUUCUAUAGCCUAAAACUUUCAACAAAAAUGCAAUUUUUUUUAGAAAGAAAACAAAAACAAAACAAAACAAAGAAUAAAAACAAAGAAAAUAAAGUGUUCCCUCCCCCACACUUAAAAUAUGCAUUGUCCUCAAUGAAAAAAACAAACAUAAAAUAAGAGAAAGAAGAGAGAGGAAAGAACACACCCGAGUAGUCAAGGAGGAUAGGU
RNAcentral lists this long non-coding RNA (341 nucleotides) under Lathyrus oleraceus (garden pea). Its description in RNAcentral is "Pisum sativum (pea) long non-coding RNA (PSAT_LNC028740)". The record is from RNAcentral. Lineage: Eukaryota; Viridiplantae; Streptophyta; Magnoliopsida; Fabales; Fabaceae.